AGGCAGCAGUGGGGGAUAUUGCACAAUGGGGGGAACCCUGAUGCAGCGACGCCGCGUGGGUGAAGAAGCGUCCUCGGCGCGUAAAGCCCUGUCAGCAGGGUAAGAAAAUGACGGUACCUGAAGAAGAAGCCCCGGCUAACUACGUGCC
This 148-nucleotide ribosomal RNA is filed under the name uncultured bacterium. RNAcentral's name for it is "partial 16S ribosomal RNA". It matches the Rfam family "Bacterial small subunit ribosomal RNA", at positions 346 to 509 of the family's 1533-position model. The record is from RNAcentral.